RNAcentral lists this ribosomal RNA (139 nucleotides) under uncultured bacterium. RNAcentral's name for it is "partial 16S ribosomal RNA". It matches the Rfam family "Bacterial small subunit ribosomal RNA", at positions 354 to 509 of the family's 1533-position model. The record is from RNAcentral.
UGGGGGAGUAUUGCACAAUGGGGGGAACCCGUGAUGCAGCGACGCCGCGUGUGUGAAGAAGCGCCUCGGCGCGUAAAGCCCUGUCAGCAGGGAAGAAAAUGACGGUACCUGAAGAAGAAGCCCCGGCUAACUACGUGCC